Molecule: ribosomal RNA, 253 nt
Filed under: uncultured bacterium
Lineage: Bacteria
Description: partial 16S ribosomal RNA
Rfam family: Bacterial small subunit ribosomal RNA
Source: RNAcentral
UACAGAGGGUGCGAGCGUUAAUCGGAAUUACUGGGCGUAAAGCGCGCGUAGGCGGCUUUGCAAGUCGAGUGUGAAAUCCCCAGGCUUAACCUGGGAACUGCAUUCGAGACUGCAUGGCUAGAGUAUGGGAGAGGGAAGUGGAAUUUCAGGUGUAGCGGUGAAAUGCGUAGAUAUCUGAAGGAACAUCAGCGGCGAAAGCGACUUCCUGGACCAAUACUGACGCUCAUGUGCGAAAGCGUGGGGAGCAAACAGG